Molecule: long non-coding RNA, 344 nt
Organism: Fukomys damarensis (Damara mole-rat)
Lineage: Eukaryota; Metazoa; Chordata; Mammalia; Rodentia; Bathyergidae
Exons: 4
Source: RefSeq, a predicted model, not a curated record
GUUGGUUUCCAGUGAGAAUCAGCUUUCAGAUGGUCAGUAAUUUGCUUCAGUGACCCAGGAAAAUAUAUGGGGAAGCUGACUGCUGCCAUCUGUACUCUUCAGAUUGAGGACAGGACAAAAGAGAAAGGUGAUUGGGCUUCCUGCCUCAGUGUUUCCAGGAUGGACUGUUGUGAGUCUCAGAAAGAGUGAGGAAGACCCAUCCUUAAUGUGCACAGGCACCAUACCCAGCAGCUGUGGGCCCAGAUGGAACAAAAAGGCAGAAAAAAGAGCUCAUGAAGUCUGUCCUAGCUGACUGGAGAUAGCCUUCUGCCUGAGGGUGGAGGAGAAUUUAUUUUGAAGAAUGA